This 178-nucleotide unclassified non-coding RNA is filed under the name uncultured Penicillium. RNAcentral describes it as "sequence contains ITS1". The record is from RNAcentral. Lineage: Eukaryota; Fungi; Ascomycota; Eurotiomycetes; Eurotiales; Aspergillaceae.
CCGAGUGAGGGCCCUCUGGGUCCAACCUCCCACCCGUGUUUAUCGUACCUUGUUGCUUCGGCGGGCCCGCCACUUGUGGCCGCCGGGGGGCACCUGCCCCCGGGCCCGCGUCCGCCGAAGACACCAUUGAACGCUGUAUGAAGAUUGCAGUCUGAGUGAUUUUUUUCCAAAUCAAUCA